This 513-nucleotide ribosomal RNA is filed under the name uncultured bacterium. Its description in RNAcentral is "partial 16S ribosomal RNA". It matches the Rfam family "Bacterial small subunit ribosomal RNA", at positions 28 to 507 of the family's 1533-position model. The record is from RNAcentral.
GACGAACGCUGGCGGCGUGCUUAACACAUGCAAGUCGAACGAAAAGAGGGAAAGAGCUUGCUCUUUCCGGAAUUGAGUGGCAAACGGGUGAGUAACACGUAAACAACCUGCCUUCAGGAUGGGGACAACAGACGGAAACGACUGCUAAUACCGAAUAAGUUCCAAGGGCCGCAUGGCCCAUGGAAGAAAAGGUGGCCUCUAUCUGUAAGCUAUCGCCUGAAGAGGGGUUUGCGUCUGAUUAGCUGGUUGGAGGGGUAACGGCCCACCAAGGCGACGAUCAGUAGCCGGUCUGAGAGGAUGAACGGCCACACUGGAACUGAGACACGGUCCAGACUCCUACGGGAGGCAGCAGUGGGGAAUCUUCCGCAAUGGGCGAAAGCCUGACGGAGCAACGCCGCGUGAGUGAUGACGGCCUUCGGGUUGUAAAACUCUGUGAUCCGGGACGAAAAGGCAGAGUGCGAAGAACAAACUGCAUUGACGGUACCGGAAAAGCAAGCCACGGCUAACUACGUG